CACCCUUUCCCUACACGAAGCUUGCCCACCAGUGACCUGGGUAGGCCUCGGGGGACCAGGGUGGUGAAGGAUGGCUUCCCCAGGAUAUUCUGCACUUCCGCAGGAGCUGUUACUGGAAGUGGAACCCAGGCGGUGGCUGUAAUAGUUGUGGGUGGCUGCGAGCAAGCCGCGAUAGGGGGUGGCUUCCUUGCUGUCGUUUGUGGGCUGGUGGAAACCUUGGCAGCGACCCCUCCCAGGCUUCGGCAUGUGAUCGUGGGUGGUGAGGAUGGUGAGGAUGGUGAUGGGGGCGCUAGGCCACAGAACCAAUUUGCAAAGGAGACCAGGGAAAACUGCUGCACAGCUGAGAUGCCCACAGGGCUCCGCUUUCUGUUUAAUGCAGACAGAGUUGACUUUAAAAAUUUUUUUUUAAUGCUUAUUUGUUUUUGAGACAGAGACAGAGCACGAGUGGG
Long non-coding RNA from Leopardus geoffroyi (Geoffroy's cat), 449 nucleotides. RefSeq lists it as uncharacterized. The record is from RefSeq and is a predicted model, not a curated record. NCBI's taxonomy places the organism in Eukaryota, Metazoa, Chordata, Mammalia, Carnivora, Felidae. The transcript is spliced from 3 exons.